RNAcentral lists this ribosomal RNA (468 nucleotides) under uncultured bacterium. Its description in RNAcentral is "partial 16S ribosomal RNA". It matches the Rfam family "Bacterial small subunit ribosomal RNA", at positions 28 to 507 of the family's 1533-position model. The record is from RNAcentral.
GACGAACGCUGGCGGCGUGCUUAACACAUGCAAGUCGAACGGAAAGGCCCUGCUUUUGUGGGGUGCUCGAGUGGCGAACGGGUGAGUAACACGUGAGUAACCUGCCCUUGACUUUGGGAUAACUUCAGGAAACUGGGGCUAAUACCGGAUAGGAGCUCCUGCUGCAUGGUGGGGGUUGGAAAGUUUCGGCGGUUGGGGAUGGACUCGCGGCUUAUCAGCUUGUUGGUGGGGUAGUGGCUUACCAAGGCUUUGACGGGUAGCCGGCCUGAGAGGGUGACCGGCCGCAUUGGGACUGAGAUACGGCCCAGACUCCUACGGGAGGCAGCAGUGGGGAAUAUUGCACUAUGGGCGGAAGCCUGAUGCAGCAACGCCGCGUGCGGGAUGACGGCCUUCGGGUUGUAAACCGCUUUCGCCUGUGACGAAGCGUGAGUGACGGUAAUGGGUAAAGAAGCACCGGCUAACUACGUG